UACGUAGGGGGCAAGCGUUGUCCGGAAUCACUGGGCGUAAAGCGCGCGCAGGCGGUCAUCUACGUCUGGGGUGAAAGCCCGGAGCUCAACUCCGGGACUGCCUUGGAUACGGGAUGACUUGAGGAUCGGAGAGGCAAGGGGAAUUCCACGUGUAGCGGUGAAAUGCGUAGAGAUGUGGAGGAACACCUGUGGCGAAGGCGGGUCUCUGGACAGUUCCUGACGCUGAGGCACGAAGGCCAGGGGAGCAAACGGG
This 253-nucleotide ribosomal RNA is filed under the name uncultured bacterium. RNAcentral's name for it is "partial 16S ribosomal RNA". It matches the Rfam family "Bacterial small subunit ribosomal RNA", at positions 524 to 776 of the family's 1533-position model. The record is from RNAcentral.